Molecule: long non-coding RNA, 569 nt
Filed under: Felis catus (domestic cat)
Lineage: Eukaryota; Metazoa; Chordata; Mammalia; Carnivora; Felidae
Description: lncRNA (ENSFCAG00000052940.1)
Source: RNAcentral
UUUCGUAUUUGUAUUCCACUUUUUAAAACCAUAGCAUUUCAUUUCUUUUAAAUUCAACUACAUAUUUUAUUUUUUUUUUCAACAUUUAUUUUUUUGGGACAGAGAGAGACAGAGCAUGAACGGGGGAGGGGCAGAGAGAGAGGGAGACACAGAAUCGGAAACAGGCUCCAGGCUCUGAGCCAUCAGCCCAGAGCCCGACGCGGGGCUCGAACUCACGGACCGCGAGACCGUGACCUGGCUGAAGUCGGACGCUUAACCGACUGCGCCACCCAGGCGCCCCAACUACAUAUUUUAAAAGGAGAAGGGAAGAAUGGGGAACUGGCGCUGGUGACAGAGCCAGGGAGGACAGGGACUAGAGCCGGCGAGGAUACGUCUUUGGCAGUACUACGAUUUGUGUUUCGAUUCCCUGUCUAACAUGGCAGCAGACACCAACUGGGAACCAAGAUUAGAUGUGAGAAUCCUGAAAGUGACCUCAAUACACCAGAGAUUCUACAAGCACAUCUGCUCACCUGAUCUCCCACUGUCCAGCUUUCUGUGCAUGUCUUGACCCCCUUGAAGUCCAAUGCCUG